AGUGGCGUACGGGUGAGUAACACGUGGAUCAUCUACCUUUUAGUGGGGAAUACCCCCGGGAAACUGGGGAUAAUACCGCAUAAGCCUGUGAAGGGAAAGCAGCAAUGCGCUGAAAGAGGAGUCCGCGGCUGAUUAGCUAGUUGGUGAGGUAAUGGCUCACCAAGGCGAAGAUCGGUAGCCGGCCUGAGAGGGCACACGGCCACACUGGCACUGAAACACGGGCCAGACUCCUACGGGAGGCAGCAGUGGGGAAUCUUGCACAAUGGAGGAAACUCUGAUGCAGCGACGCCGCGUGAGCGAUGAAGCCCUUCGGGGUGUAAAGCUCUUUCGACGGGAACGAUAAUGACGGUACCCGAAGAAGAAGCUGCGGCUAACUACGUGCCAGCAGCCGCGGUAAUACGUAGGCAGCAAGCGUUGUUCGGAAUUACUGGGCGUAAAGAGUGUGUAGGCGGUGUUCUAAGUUUGUCGUGAAAUCUCCCGGCUUAACUGGGAGGGUGCGGCGAAAACUGGAAUGCUAGAGGAUGGGAGAGGUAAGCGGAAUUCCUGGUGUAGCGGUGAAAUGCGUAGAUAU
RNAcentral lists this ribosomal RNA (571 nucleotides) under uncultured bacterium. RNAcentral's name for it is "bacterial SSU rRNA". It matches the Rfam family "Bacterial small subunit ribosomal RNA", at positions 94 to 697 of the family's 1533-position model. The record is from RNAcentral.